RNAcentral lists this ribosomal RNA (482 nucleotides) under uncultured bacterium. RNAcentral's name for it is "partial 16S ribosomal RNA". It matches the Rfam family "Bacterial small subunit ribosomal RNA", at positions 30 to 507 of the family's 1533-position model. The record is from RNAcentral.
AUUGAACGCUGGCGGCAUGCCUUACACAUGCAAGUCGAACGGUAACGGGCCUUCGGGUGCCGACGAGUGGCGAACGGGUGCGUAAUACAUCGGAACGUGCCCGAUCGUGGGGGAUAACGAGGCGAAAGCUUUGCUAGUACCGCAUACGAUCUACGGAUGAAAGCAGGGGACCGCAAGGCCUUGCGCGGACGGAGCGGCCGAUGGCAGAUUAGGUAGUUGGUGGGAUAAAAGCUUACCAAGCCGACGAUCUGUAGCUGGUCUGAGAGGAUGAUCAGCCACACUGGGACUGAGACACGGCCCAGACUCCUACGGGAGGCAGCAGUGGGGAAUUUUGGACAAUGGGCGCAAGCCUGAUCCAGCCAUGCCGCGUGCAGGAUGAAGGCCUUCGGGUUGUAAACUGCUUUUGUACGGAACGAAAAGCCUUCUUUUAAUACAGGAGGGUCAUGACGGUACCGUAAGAAUAAGCACCGGCUAACUACGUG